Nothobranchius furzeri (turquoise killifish) is the source of this 3821-nucleotide non-coding RNA. The record is from RefSeq and is a predicted model, not a curated record. NCBI's taxonomy places the organism in Eukaryota, Metazoa, Chordata, Actinopteri, Cyprinodontiformes, Nothobranchiidae.
UUGCUGAAGACUGAAUGACCGAGAACGGUGUUCGGUCCAGUGGGACUGCCGACCACCCAGAACGAGAACCCAGGUAUGAGACUCGAGGCUCUAGCGCGGCUCGGAGCUCAGAGGUAACCCAGAAGCUGCAGACUGCAGCACGAAUCACCUGGUUCGCAUCGGUCCGAGCGGAGACCCGGUGUCCCCGGUGCUAGCAGUUCGGAUCGGUCCGGUACCGCGAAACGAGACGGACCAGGACAGGACCUGCGGCUCUGCUCGUGCACCAGACCAGUGGACAAGGAGGUGGAUUAUUCAGAUUCCUGUUUGCUGUCAGUCUCUCCAGGAAAUAUAAACUGGCACCUCUGAGCAGCCAUCCUACCUUCUGAGCCUCUGUGGGCAUCUCAUCACUGGACGAGCUCAGCUCUUUGUCCUUUAGAGCAUCCCGAGGGCCCGCGGGCCCACUCAUGAUUCCAGGUAGUCCUUUACUAGCAGGGAAGGUCUUCUUCAUGGCCUCAUCAUCUGACGACAGGCCUUUAUCACUCAGGUUCCCUGCCAGCUCACUUAGUUUCCUCCUCAGCUUCUCCUCCUCAUUCUGACCCGACGGAGUUGAAGCCUGCAGAGGGACACAGGAUAUGAACGAGUAGUGUUCAGGAAUCAGACUCAGAUCCUGAUGUCGGUCUGGUGUUUGUGGACCGUCUCACCUCAUCAGCUGGUGACAUCUUCUCCUCCAGACGGCUCAGCAGACUCUCGAUGGCUGACAUUCGUUUGUUCAGUUCGUUUAUCUGAGAUUACAAGUCCAUGUCACUUUUAUGACAGAAAGUUCUGGCUCAUCCAGACUCUCAAAAUGACUUUAUGUUCCUGAUGUUUUCCCAUUUUUGAUUUGGAAACUGGUUUUCAGUUAAAACCAAAGUUAGUGGCUGGUCUGGAAAUGAUUAGUUUCUAGUUUGGACCGAUUUGUGUCGUGGAGUUUAGUGUUUUCUGUAAAUGCAACACCGAUGUUUUAUCACAAGCUGAAGCGCGUUCCGUCAUGAGGAGCUGCUAACGCUAACAGUUAGCUUCUGCUAGCGGAGCAAACUCAGAGUUAGCCAGGGGGACUUAGCUUGACCCUGAUCCUAAUCCUGCAGAAGGGUUAAACAGGUGAGAAUAACCCCCAGGUGUGUGAAGCGAGUGCGCUGAUUGGUUGUACUCUUACAGGCGGAGCUUGGCCCAGGUUCUCCUGAGAAGAGGCUCUACUGUUUCUGCGGCGGUGGGGGGGCUGCUGCUGGUACAUGGGAGGGUAUCUACAGUACUCCUCCUCAUCAGACGUGUCAACAUACUGCUGCCGAGCCACAGAAGAGCUGAUCUUAGACAAAGAGCGUGUCCGGACCAUCCGAUUCUCUGCAUAGUCAUCUGAUGACAGAAAACAGGUUGAGUCAGAUGGUCUGUGUACACAAACAUAAGAGCUGAGAGGUAACGAUGACUCUGAAACUGAGAAGACGAAGUCAGGGAUCAGAGACUCUGUGUGAGCGGUUACAAACUCCUCCCAGGUAAAACAUCCAGACUCACAAUGUUCCUUAUUGGCUCCAGGCUUUAUAUGAUUGAAAAAUUUCCAGACUUAUAAUCAUUGUGUGUGUGCAUGCAUGUGUGUGUGCGUGCGUGCGUGUGUGUGUGUGACCUGGCCUCAUGGCAUAACGGUCCAGACUCUUCCUGCGGUUAGCUCGGUGGUUGUAGAGGUCGUAAUCCGCAUCGUUCCUGUAGCCGCGCUCCUCCUGCAUCUGCAUCUGCUGUUCAACGCCGUCAUCAAAGACGUCACAGAAAACAUUGAUUAAAACAACGCUGAACUGAGCGUUUUUAGCUUUAGAUGUAACAACUGUGGGGACAUGCCACAGUGGAAAUGUUAGCACGGGUUUGUGUUGCCAGCGUGGGAUUGACCUGCACAGACGGGCGGCGGGAGUGAGGAAGAUAAUCCUCUGAAUCGAAGUCCAUGGGAUGAACUGACAGCAGCCGCUUGUUCUUCCUCAUCUGAGUGUGAAACUCUAAUUUAUUCAUGUGUUCAUUCUCAACAUUGUCAUCUUUGUGUUCUCAGCUACCAUCUUGUAGCGCUGAGCCUCGGUUUCUGCAGGAUCGUCCUCGUUACCGUUGUACAUGUCUGAAACAAAUCAGUGUUCAGCAGGACUGGGUUAUGGUUCAUCCUGUGUAAACCAAGGACAUCAGCUGCCUGGUCAGCCAUGCUAAUGCUUUAGAGUGCUUUAUGCUAAUUAAUGAGCAACAAGCUGGAGCUUUAAAAGAUUGCGAUUCUUUCAUCGACCAGAUUAACUUCAUAAUGAUCGGAGUGUUUGUUGUGCGACUCACAGCUGCGGACGUCUGGCAUGCUCUGAGUGUCGUCAUCACGACCGCCUGAUGAACAAACACCGUUAGAGGAACAGGCUCAUUGUGGAGCCACAAUAGGAAUUACAGUUUAACAACGAGUGUUAUGAUUCACCAUCGCCGUUUAGACGCUUGUACAGUGACCUCAUCACCUUGGCACUGCCGAAACGCUUAAAACGGUUCCUCACGUUGUCAUGGUACCAGCCGACGGUCCCGACCUUCAGGACUCUGAGGAUAAAAAAUAAAAAAUAAAAAAACCAGAACGUACUAAUACACAAACUCCACACCGAACAUAAAUGACUCCCAAGCUGGGCUCUUGAUGGAAAACACACAGAGGUAUCCUCAGAGCUCAAAACAGAACUCAGGUGCUUCCUGGUUCCACUGAUCAUCCUUGAGAUGUUUCUGCAGCUUAACCGGAGUCCACAUGUGGUAAGUUUGGUCAAAGAUUUGGAAAGGCACACGCCUGUCUAAGACUGUGCAUGUCAGAGCACAAACCCAUGAAGUCAAAGGAAUUGUGCACAGUCAUCGGAGACCUGGGAUUUCAGAAAUGUUUCUGCUGCUUUUAAGUUUCCAAUGAGCACAAUAGUCUUCAUCAUCUGUGAGAAGAAGUUCCAAACCAGGACUCUUCCUAGUGCUGGCUGGCCAUAAAAUCUGAGCUAUUUGAGAAGAAGGGCCUUAGUCAAGGAGGUGACCAAGAACCCAACGGUCACUCUGUCAGAGCUCCAGUGUAAAUUUAGUUUGUUAUUUAAAAUGUUAUUUCAAAAUGUAGUUUUUUGUUUGUUUGUUUAAUUCACCUGUUGCUGUGUUCACAAAAAGACUAUGGAGAUAAACCCUUUUUGAAAUGGCGAACAGCACAAACGUGUGUUUUUGUUUUAUUCUGGUUAUUUCUUUUAGCCUGGCCUGCCAGACUCGUCCGGUUUAAUUCUGCACAGAGAGAGAGAGUCUGGUUACUCACAGGCAGGGAGGCACAUGAGGGGCGGGACUAGGCAGCUCAAAAAUAACCAAUCACAAAAAAGACGGAAAUGACAACUGUACCGCGUGGCGCUGUAGUUUUUUAGCUGUAGUAAAAAAAAGGCGUCUGGUGACGGCGCAAACAUCUUUAAUUUUUGCAGAAAUGCUUUUAGCGCUUCUACUUGUUGUGGUUUUAAAGACAUUCCAGUCAUUUAGAACAGAGGACAGAGCCGCAGCAAACUCCAUUUCAGUCGCCAUGUUUAUGACAAACUCGGCGUUGUGGUGUGCGACGUACACUACUCAGCGCUGAUCAUGGACGUAAUUUUCACUUUAGAAGUGGGGGGGCACGGGGGCGGGUAUCUUUACAGUAUGUUCUAAUGGGAAACAGGCUUCAACACAAAUGGUUGUUUUCUGCUUGGUCCUAGAGCUCAACCAGUGUCAAUUCAAUAUAGCGUAAUGUUGUUUUUGGAUGGUAAAAAGUGCAGGGGUCAAAACUUGACUUUGGAAAAAGUGAGGGGGACAUGUCCCCCCUGUCCCCCCCCCCC